This 425-nucleotide ribosomal RNA is filed under the name uncultured bacterium. Its description in RNAcentral is "partial 16S ribosomal RNA". It matches the Rfam family "Bacterial small subunit ribosomal RNA", at positions 354 to 796 of the family's 1533-position model. The record is from RNAcentral.
GUGGGGAAUCUUGCGCAAUGGGCGAAAGCCUGACGCAGCCAUGCCGCGUGAAUGAUGAAGGUCUUAGGAUUGUAAAAUUCUUUCACCGGGGACGAUAAUGACGGUACCCGGAGAAGAAGCUCCGGCUAACUUCGUGCCAGCAGCCGCGGUAAUACGAAGGGGGCUAGCGUUGCUCGGAAUUACUGGGCGUAAAGGGCGCGUAGGCGGACAGCUUAGUCAGAGGUGAAAGCCCAGGGCUCAACCUUGGAAUUGCCUUUGAUACUGGCUGUCUUGAGUGUGGGAGAGGUGAGUGGAACUCCGAGUGUAGAGGUGAAAUUCGUAGAUAUUCGGAAGAACACCAGUGGCGAAGGCGACUCACUGGCCCAAUACUGACGCUGAGGCGCGAAAGCGUGGGGAGCAAACAGGAUUAGAAACCCUAGUAGUCC